Molecule: ribosomal RNA, 520 nt
Filed under: uncultured Glomus
Lineage: Eukaryota; Fungi; Glomeromycota; Glomeromycetes; Glomerales; Glomeraceae
Description: SSU rRNA
Rfam family: Eukaryotic small subunit ribosomal RNA
Source: RNAcentral
AGCAGCCGCGGUAAUUCCAGCUCCAAUAGCGUAUAUUAAAGUUGUUGCAGUUAAAAAGCUCGUAGUUGAAUUUCGGGAUCAAUACGUCGGUCGUGCUUUCGGGUACGUACUGGCGUCAUUGGUUUCUCCUUUCUGACGAACCAUGAUGUCAUUAAUUUGGUGUCAUGGGGAGUUAGGACUGUUACUUUGAAAAAAUUAGAGUGUUUAAAGCAGGCAUUAGCUUGAAUACAUUAGCAUGGAAUAAUGAAAUAGGACGUUCGAUCCUAUUUUGUUGGUUUCUAGGAUCAACGUAAUGAUUAAUAGGGAUAGUUGGGGGCAUUAGUAUUCAAUUGUCAGAGGUGAAAUUCUUGGAUUUAUUGAAGACUAACUACUGCGAAAGCAUUUGCCAAGGAUGUUUUCAUUAAUCAAGAACGAAAGUUAGGGGAUCGAAGACGAUCAGAUACCGUCGUAGUCUUAACCAUAAACUAUGCCGACUAGGGAUCGGAUGAUGUUAAUUUUUAAUAGUACCCAUUCGGCGUCC